AUACGUAGGGGGCAAGCGUUAUCCGGAUUUACUGGGUGUAAAGGGAGCGUAGACGGUUUGGCAAGUCUGAUGUGAAAGCCCGGGGCUCAACCGCGGGACUGCAUUGGAAACUGUCAGACUUGAGUGCAGGAGAGGGAAGUGGAAUUCCCAGUGUAGCGGUGAAAUGCGUAGAGAUUGGGAGGAACACCAGUGGCGAAGGCGACUUACUGGACUGUAACUGACGCUGAGGCGCGAAAGUGUGGGGAGCAAACAGGAUUAGAUACCCUGGUAGUCCACACUGUAAACGAUGAAUGCUAGGUGUAGGGGGUAUCGACCCCUUCUGUGCCGCAGUUAACACAAUAAGUAUUCCGCCUGGGGAGUACGGCCGCAAGGUUGAAACUCAAAGGAAUUGACGGGG
RNAcentral lists this ribosomal RNA (397 nucleotides) under uncultured bacterium. Its description in RNAcentral is "partial 16S ribosomal RNA". It matches the Rfam family "Bacterial small subunit ribosomal RNA", at positions 523 to 918 of the family's 1533-position model. The record is from RNAcentral.